CCUACGGGAGGCAGCAGUGAGGAAUAUUGGUCAAUGGACGAGAGUCUGAACCAGCCAAGUAGCGUGAAGGAUGACUGCCCUAUGGGUUGUAAACUUCUUUUAUAUGGGAAUAAAAUGUUCCACGUGUGGGUUUUUGUAUGUACCAUAUGAAUAAGGAUCGGCUAACUCCGUGCCAGCAGCCGCGGUAAUACGGAGGAUCCGAGCGUUAUCCGGAUUUAUUGGGUUUAAAGGGAGCGUAGGUGGAUUGUUAAGUCAGGUGUGAAAGUUUGCGGCUCAACCGUAAAAUUGCAGUUGAAACUGGCAGUCUUGAGUACAGUAGAGGUGUGCGGAAUUCGUGGUGUAGCGGUGAAAUGCUUAGAUAUCACGAAGAACUCCGAUUGCGAAGGCAGCUCACUGGACUGCAACUGACACUGAGGCUCGAAAGUAUGGGUAUCAAACAGGAUUAGAUACCCCAGUAGUC
RNAcentral lists this ribosomal RNA (460 nucleotides) under uncultured bacterium. RNAcentral describes it as "partial 16S ribosomal RNA". It matches the Rfam family "Bacterial small subunit ribosomal RNA", at positions 338 to 795 of the family's 1533-position model. The record is from RNAcentral.